This is a long non-coding RNA of Triticum aestivum (bread wheat), 889 nucleotides long. RefSeq lists it as uncharacterized. Lineage: Eukaryota; Viridiplantae; Streptophyta; Magnoliopsida; Poales; Poaceae. The record is from RefSeq and is a predicted model, not a curated record. The transcript has 2 exons.
GAAAUUACAGUGGGACUGCCCUUCCAAAGUGCCUUUGCACAAACCGUUUUCUCGUCCUGCUAGCCCGACAUGAGAGCGAGCCGGCCUACAGACCAACCCGCAGCACUGUCCUCUCGCAACCCUAGCGCCGCCGGUGCGCCAACGCCUGCCUGCCGACGCGCCGCCGCCGUCCCUCGCAUCUCCGUCUUUUCUCCAUCGCCGCUCGCAGUGGCCGUCCGAAGUCGCCGUGCAGCCAUCUCCUGCAUCAGCUAGCACUCCCUCCGUUGGUCGCCGCCGGCAGCCCGACGAUCUGCUCCGUCCAGCCUCGCCCGCAAGAUCAACGCCGGCAGCCGUACGACCUGCUCCGUCCAGCUCAAGAAAAUGUCAAGUGUGUCUGCCGAAUGGACCGAUGAGAACACUCGGAUUAUCGUCGAGUUGUUUGUGAAACAAGUGAGGGCUGGAAAUAUGCCAAACACUCAUUUGACACUCAAUGCAUAUGAUGAGGAAGGAAAGGAGUUCCUGAUGAGAAUUGGACUUGAGUACUUACAAAAGCAAGUGAGAAACAAAUGGGACAAGUUAAAACGUGAGGACAACACAUUCAAGAAGCUCAAGUUGCGUGAGACUGGAGGGGGGUGGGACUUUGAGAAAAACACGAUGAAAUAAGAUAACGAGUGGUGGAAAAAGGCGAGAGUUGUAAGUUGUCAUGCUUAUGUUUCUCAUAAAAAAAUUCUAAACUUGUCAUGCAUUAUAUACUAACUAGGUGAUACCCCGCGCAUUGCUGCAGAGAUUUUGUAUUGGAGACUAGAUGCAAUGAUCAAUAUCAAAAAUGAUGGAAGAUUUUUUUAUUGAAACCCUGUAUUGACUGAUGCGUAUUGUUUUAUUAUUUGAGCUAGAGAUGUUGUUUGCUGCU